Molecule: ribosomal RNA, 429 nt
Filed under: Actinomycetes bacterium
Lineage: Bacteria; Bacillati; Actinomycetota; Actinomycetes
Description: Actinobacteria bacterium partial 16S ribosomal RNA
Rfam family: Bacterial small subunit ribosomal RNA
Source: RNAcentral
UAGGGAAUCUUCCGCAAUGGGCGAAAGCCUGACGGAGCAACGCCGCGUGAGUGAUGAAGGUCUUCGGAUCGUAAAACUCUGUUAUUAGGGAAGAACAAAUGUGUAAGUAACUAUGCACGUCUUGACGGUACCUAAUCAGAAAGCCACGGCUAACUACGUGCCAGCAGCCGCGGUAAUACGUAGGUGGCAAGCGUUAUCCGGUAUUAUUGGGCGUAAAGCGCGAGUAGGCGGUUUUUUAAAUCUGAUGGGAAAGUCAACGGCUCAACCGUGGAGGGUCAUUGGAAACUGGAAAACUGGAGUGCAGAAGAGGAAAGUGGAAUUCCAAGUGUAGCGGUGAAAUGCGGAGAGAUAUGGAGGAACUCCAGUGGCGAAGGCGACUUUCUGGUCUGUAACUGACGCUGAUGUGCGAAAGCGUGGGGAUCAAACAGG